UCAACUCGGCCGGUGAGCGGCUGCCGGCGGAGCGAUGCUGCGGCCGGAGGAACGGCCGGGGCCCCGUGCGAGAUCGGCGACGGCCGAGGAGGUCGGUUCCGCAGCGCGGGGAGGUUAGAAGGUGAUAGAUCAGAGAUUCUGGAUGAGAGCAUUCCACUCACUAAUGACAAGGCGUUUAUUAGAACAGUUGCACACCGUGUUUCCUUCCUAGAAGAGAAAGUGCCCGAAGCAAAGAAGAGUCAUGGUGCCUUUUUAAUACCACUUUCCAACUGUUUCGAUAUGCAGUUAUCCCAUCUUUAAAAACAAUUGCUGUAGCAUUAUGCUGGUAUACAUAACGCUGGGCAGGCAAUAAUACACAGGUAUCACUAAAUAUGUAGGAACAGCUGAACCAAUCCAAAUUUUUGUUUGGUGUCAGAGCAACCUCUGUUAAUUUCAGUUGCUGAAGACUAGUUCAUUUUCUGCAGGUCUGGGACAUACCUUAACUCUGUAAAGAACAUCAUGAAUAUGCAGUCUGGUUAACAGGCAUGGAAAGGACACGGUACGUACUGAUACGCUCUUUGGAUAACUUAGCUGUCAAACUCUGGUGAAUCUUUACAAAGCUUCAUUUAAUAUAUGCACAGUAAAGAGUGUAACUUGGCCAAAAUUGGUAAGAUUUUCAUAGCAAUGGGAAAAGAUGUCCCUGAAACCAGGGCAAUUUGUGCCAAUUUAAAAUUUCUGCUGUAGCUUAUAAAGGCAUUUGAGAUUCUUAAAUGAACUGAACAGCAGAUAGUUUUCUUUAAUUUCGUUCUUUCAAUUUUCCUGUGUUGGCUUCCUAAAACUUUCCAAGCAUGUUAAGCCCACCUCAGUUAUCUAGUGUGGGAAAUGCAUCAAAGCUGUAAGUUUUUCAAGGUUUGUCUGCCUUUUCAAAUAAUGUUGUAUAACUGGGAUACCAGGAAAGAAGUGGAGGAGGCCAGGCUAUUUACUCAGAUGCUGGCUUGAUUUAUGCAGGAAGACAGUAUAAUCUUUUUAAUGCUUAUUUUUGUCCUUACUAAGUGAAUUUUAAAAUAUUGUAUGACUGUAUAUUUGUGCUCACAGGCAUCUUGGAAUGGUAAUAUUAGUGAACAAAACAGAAAAAUAAACAGGGAAUGGUGUAGCUUCAUACUGUACUUCUCUCCUCCCAUCCUUUUCCCAAAGUGUAGUGCAAUGGGAAAAUCCUGUGAGAGAGAUAACUAGGAUGAGCACAAAUGAGAAAAAUGCCCCUGCAGAACUCUGAACAGAUAAGACUUAGCCUGAGGAAGGACAAGGCAGGGUAAAGGUUUGGUUUGUGAAGUCAUUCUGGAUGUGGUGCAGGUGAAUUGAGAAGGAUUAUUCACUCCCUGACAUAAUUCAAGAACUACAGCCUUCCUAAGAAAUUACCAGCAGGCAAGUUCACCAUACAAAAAAAGAGAGGUACUUAACGAGAUGUACUAAAAUGCUAUAGCACUUAUGUUCACAGGGUGUUAUAUUCCCAAAGUGGUAAGACAAAUUCAUAGAUAGUACUCCAACAAUUGAGAUGUUUUGUAUAUGUACAUAUAUAGAUGUAUGUAUAUAUAUACAUAUAUAUAUGCUAAUUCUUCAGUCUGUUGGGAAUAAGUUGGUGUAAUUACCCUUCAAAGCUUUCCUUCGUCAGUCUGUUCAAUUGGUCGUCACUUAAGCAGGAUUGUUUGGCUACAUCGACCUUUGAAUGAAUGAUGCAGCACAGCUGCUUAUUAACAAAUUUUACUCUGUGGCUCUCAGUGUAAAUUCUGCCUCUGGUUGACAGUGCUCUGUGUUGGUAAGGAAUUGUUCACUUCUAGAAGUGUGGAGGAAGAACUGAGUUAUUUAAGGAUGUAAGUGGAGUUAGAAUUUCUGCAGCUACUUUCAUGUAGGUUUGUCUGUUGCCUGAAACAUAAUAAGAUCUCUGCCAACUACUGAAGUUUUCAUACUCUCUCCAGCUCUGUUUCUUUGUAGCUAUCUAUCCUCUUCCCUCUGUUUUGCGGGACACCAUUGCAGGGAUGCCCAUGAAGCAUCUUUUACCAUUUAAAAAUCAGAGCCAUCCUGACCAUUUUUGUAGAUGAAUUUAAUUUGUUCUGAAAUGACAGUAUCCGAUUUGUGCAGCUUCUUCCCAUAGCCGUUUUGGUCAGACUGGGUAUAAGUAUUUGAGAGCAGAUAAUUUUUUUUUCUCUUUUGAUUAAAUGUGUGCUAUUUCAAGUACAAGAGAAAACUCAUUCUCACUGUUUUGCCAUUAUAUUUCAAGAUGCUGCAGGAUGUUGGUUUUUCUAAAUCUUUAAAUGUGUUUGGGUAUUCAAGUUGUUUCAUACAGACUUCCAGUGCAGGGGAGCACUGCGAGAAGUGUCAAAUCUGUGGGAGAAAAGUGAGUAAUUAGAUGCACUCUGUGUUAGGAAUAGCCAGGGGUGGUCUGAAAAGAAAUGACCUUUUACUAAAUAUAAAUUACAAUAUGACUGUGUAAGUGUGACAGGUUGUAAGAACAUAACUCCUCCUGAGGGAACAGAACUGAGGAAAUCACUUUCUCCUGUGAAGUUUGCAGCUGUGUGGAAAAAAAGCCUUUCUCCCGUAAAGCUUGAACUCUGCAUGAGAGAAACUGUGAUAUGGAAUCUUUUGUCCAAAGAUUUUAUCUGUGCCCUGGCUGAAUGGGGUUCAGCAAUCUUAGAGAAAGGACAGGAAAUAUAUUUUAGAAAACUUUAGGAUGUGGAUUUUGGGGGAGUGGGAGAGAGAAAAUCCCUUGUAUCAUUUCCAAUGGAACAAAACUGAAUGUCAGCAACUCUUCCAUUUUUUUUCACACAUCUUUUGAUAGCUGGCAUUUUUGUAAAACCAGAAGUAUUCCUUCUAGCUGGCAUCACUAGCUGAUAAUCCUGGAAGGUGUUCAAAACUGCGUCUGAGAAGCAGAGAGAGAACAGAGGGCUGGUAGGUACUUCUGAAAUUCCUGCUGCAGAAUUUCAGUAGAGAUAAGAGAAUAAAAGAGCAGUUAGGAAAAGCUUGAUUUUUUUCAGAAGGCCACCUACAUUAGUGCUCUCAUCUCUUUUCUGACAUAGAAAUUGCUUUUAAACUAUAAUUGUAUUUCACUGACAAAAGCUUCUGGCUACAUACAUUAAGACCUGCGUAAUAUUGCCUUUCUGUAAGUUGGCUUGAUCUGUGCCAGAAAAUAGAAACCCAGCCUCUGGGUGUAAAAAGCUCCUCCUCCAGACUUCAGUUUCAGUCGCU
Molecule: long non-coding RNA, 3219 nt
Filed under: Gallus gallus (chicken)
Lineage: Eukaryota; Metazoa; Chordata; Aves; Galliformes; Phasianidae
Source: RNAcentral